GCCGCUUGGAGGGGAGCUGCGAAACGAUCGCAGCGCGCGGGGUGGCGAGUAGUGAGUUGAGCCAGCGUGUGUUGUGAUAGCAUUUUGUAGCAUUUUGUAUGAGAAACAAUUGACGGUAUGUGGAAUUACACUUGUUGUGUUGUUAACUGCAAAAAUAACGGUAAAACUAGUGAUUGUAUAUUUUACAAGUUUCCAACUGCAUCACAUAAAAUAGUUCAAAGGCAAAAAUGGAUUGCUGCUGUGAAAAGAAAAAAAAAAAAUCAGAUGAUCCUGCGAGUCCAAGCUACGCGCCAACUCUAUUCCCUCCAGUUUA
Molecule: long non-coding RNA, 313 nt
Filed under: Neodiprion lecontei (redheaded pine sawfly)
Lineage: Eukaryota; Metazoa; Arthropoda; Insecta; Hymenoptera; Diprionidae
Description: uncharacterized LOC124293530
Source: RNAcentral